UCAAGUGACUAAGUGUAUGUGGUGGAUGCCUUGGCGAUCAUAGGCGAUGAAGGACGUGUAAGCCUGCGAAAAGCUGCGGGGAGUCGGCAAAAAGACUUUGAUCCGCAGAUGUCCGAAUGAGGAAACUCACCGGGUAACCGGUAUCACAAACUGAAUACAUAGGUUUGUGAAGCGAACGCAGUGAACUGAAACAUCUAAGUAACUGCAGGAAAAGAAAUCAACCGAGAUUGCGGCAGUAGCGGCGAGCGAAACCGCAGCAGCCUAGUUUUUGAUAAUGCAUGGUGACAGCAGAACGGUCUGGAAAGGCCGGCCACAGUGGGUGACAGCCCCGUAUGCGAAGUCCGGUGCAUGGUACUAAAAAGACGAUAAGUAGGGCGGGACACGUGACAUCCUGUCCGAAGAUGGGGGGACCAUCCUCCAAGGCUAAAUACUCAUGAUCGACCGAUAGCGAACCAGUACUGUGAAGGAAAGGCGAAAAGAACCCCGGGAGGGGAGUGAAAUAGAACCUGAAACCGCAUACAUACAAACAGUAGGAGCCCUACGGGGUGACUGCGUACCUUUUGCAUAAUGGGUCAGCGACUUACGUUUUGCGGCAAGCUUAACCGAGUAGGGGAGGCGCAGCGAAAGCGAGUUCGAACAGAGCGAUAGAGUCGUAAGGCGUAGACCCGAAACCAGAUGAGCUAACCAUGGCCAGGUUGAAGGUGUGGUAACACACACUGGAGGACCGAACCGACCGGUGUUGCAAAACCGGCGGAUGAGCUGUGGUUAGGGGUGAAAGGCUUAACAAAUCUGGAGAUAGCUGGUUCUCCCCGAAAACUAUUGAGGUAGUGCCUCGUGACUGACUCCGGGGGGUAGAGCACUGUUAUGGCUAGGGGGACAUGGCGUCUUACCAAACCAUGGCAAACUCCGAAUACCCGGAAGUUGAAUCACGGGAGACAGAGCACCGGGUGCUAACGUCCGGACUCAAAAGGGAAACAACCCAGACCGCCGUUUAAGGUCCCAAAUACAGGCUAAGUGGAAAACGAAGUGUGAAGGCUAAGACAGUCAGGAAGUUGGCUUAGAAGCAGCCAUCCUUCAAAGAAAGCGUAAUAGCUCACUGAUCGAGUCCUCAUGCGCGGAAGAUGUAACGGGGCUAAGUCUGUAACCGAAAGCGCGGAUUUGCACGCAAGUGCAAGUGGUAGGGGAGCGUUCUGUAAGCCUGCGAAGGUGUGUGGUAACGCAUGCCGGAGGUAUCAGAAGUGCGAAUGCUGACAUGAGUAACGAUAAAGCGGGUGAAAAGCCCGCUCGCCGUAAGCCCAAGGUUUCCUGCUCUACGUUCAUCGGAGCAGGGUGAGUCGGCCCCUAAGGCCAGGCUGAGAAGCGUAGCUGAUGGGAAGCAGAUUAAGAUUUCUGCACCGACGUUAAGUGCGAAGGGGGGACGGAGUUUUAAGCAUCAUCCGGGUGUUGGAUGUCCCGGUUUGUGCGUGUAGGAGGCCGGCAGGCAAAUCCGCCGGCGAAUCUCCGAGACAAAGCAUCGAGCUGCAUUUUGCAGUGAAGUGAUGGGAUGAACUUCCAGGAAAAGCCUCUAAGCUAUAGCUUAAUGUCGACCGUACCGUAAACCGACACAGGUGGGCGAGUUGAAUAUACUCAGGCGCUUGAGAGAACUCGGGAGAAGGAACUCGGCAAAUUGACACCGUAACUUCGGGAUAAGGUGUGCCUUUGUAGUGUGAAGAGUGAAACACUCCGAGCAUGAAGAGGUCACAGAGAAUAGGUGGCUGCAACUGUUUACUAAAAACACAGCACUCUGCAAAGACGAAAGUCGACGUAUAGGGUGUGAUGCCUGCCCGGUGCCGGAAGAUUAAGUGAUGGGGUGAGAGCUCCUGAUCGAAGUCCCGGUAAACGGCGGCCGUAACUAUAACGGUCCUAAGGUAGCGAAAUUCCUUGUC
Molecule: ribosomal RNA, 1925 nt
Filed under: human gut metagenome
Description: bacterial LSU rRNA
Rfam family: Bacterial large subunit ribosomal RNA
Source: RNAcentral